CGGGGCUACUGCUCUGUAAUUGGCAUGGGGGCGACCUUCACCCUCGCCCGAGUACCCAUUGGAGGGCAAGUCUGGUGCCAGCAGCCGCGGUAAUUCCAGCUCCAAUAGCGUAUAUUAAACUUGUUGCAGUUAAAAAGCUCGUAGUUGUACUUUAUGUCCCUCGCGUGGUCCUUCCUCGCUAGGACGCCUCGUUACUUUGAGAAAAUUAGAGUGUUUCAAGCAGGUUUCGCCUGUAUAAUUGAGCAUGGAAUAACCUUGUAUGACCCUGUCGUACCGUUGGUUGACUUUGGGUAAUGGUUAAUAGGAACGGUUGGGGGCAUUCGUACUCGACUGUCAGAGGUGAAAUUCUUAGAUUUGUCGAUGACGCACGACUGCGAAAGCAUUUGCCAAGGACGCUUCCAUUAAUCAAGAAC
RNAcentral lists this ribosomal RNA (413 nucleotides) under Babesia bovis. RNAcentral describes it as "SSU rRNA". It matches the Rfam family "Eukaryotic small subunit ribosomal RNA", at positions 486 to 984 of the family's 1831-position model. Lineage: Eukaryota; Apicomplexa; Aconoidasida; Piroplasmida; Babesiidae. The record is from RNAcentral.